UUAUUGACAGUAGUUACAAACUUAAAAAAAUGGGUUUGAAAAACAUACCAAAAGUACUUACUUAGCACAUUAAAGUAAAUUUGCUUCAAUGCUAACUCUCAACAUUUGAGUGAUUCAUUGCAGGCAUUUGAGAAAAAAAUUGACUUACCAGUUUGAAAACGCCAUUUUUUGUUUUUUGACACAAAGGUGACUGCGUAAUGGCGAAUGGAACAGCCACGCGUAAGUUGCUCCAUAAGUUUGCAAAAAAUCACCAAAAAGUCGCGUCUGUGUUCGCAAAAGUGUAUAUUUCUGGAAAGGGGAAGAUUUCCUUCACCGAUUCGUAGUAAUUUCGCGACCGCGAGCGCGGUGUUACUCAAGAAACGCGCCUUUUGUAUUUGUGAAGUUUCUGACGUCUUCCUAACAAGGAUUCACCCUGCCAUAAAGUUUUCAAGAGUAUUUUUGGACUGUUUGAACCCACAUUUGGACCAAGUAAUACCCAAAAACUACAUUAGAUAAGGCAAACUGCAACACGCCCUGUAUAUUGGUUGCGUUACUUUGAAAAUAAAUUUCGGGACACAUUCCUUGUGGCUCGAGGACAGUUUACACGUUGAAAAAACAUUUGAAAAAUGGCCAGAGCAGUACACGAGCGCAUUGCUGUUAUUGUUGACCUGAUUCUCAAAGUGUUCCAGACACACGUACAGGCCAAUUGAAUCUGAACUAUUUGAUACGUUAUAAGGUGGUGGGACCCAUAGAUUAACUAAGUGGGACCGGUGGGUACCAUUGGACUCUGCUCCAGUGAAUUAAUUCCAUAGAUUGCCUCACAUCAGAUGUCAGCUUCCUUCAGAGGAAAUCAGCCCAACUGUGACACCACAACUGUUCAAUAGCAGAGAGAGAAGCACCUACAAUUUUGUAUUGGUAUUUUGAUUUUCCGCAAUAUUUUUAUCAAAUUACCGUAUUUCCAUGUUGCGAUACCGCAUCAAAGCAGUCGAUUUUUCUCUGCCGAA
Dendroctonus ponderosae (mountain pine beetle) is the source of this 983-nucleotide long non-coding RNA. RefSeq lists it as uncharacterized. Lineage: Eukaryota; Metazoa; Arthropoda; Insecta; Coleoptera; Curculionidae. The record is from RefSeq and is a predicted model, not a curated record. The transcript is spliced from 3 exons.